GACGAACGCUGGCGGCGUGCCUAGUACAUGCAAGUAGAACGCUGAAGGAGGAGCUUGCUUCUCUGGAUGAGUUGCGAACGGGUGAGUAACGCGUAGGUAACCUGCCUGGUAGCGGGGGAUAACUAUUGGAAACGAUAGCUAAUACCGCAUAAUAGUAGAUGUUGCAUGACAUUUGCUUAAAAGGUGCAAUUGCAUCACUACCAGAUGGACCUGCGUUGUAUUAGCUAGUUGGUGAGGUAAUGGCUCACCAAGGCGACGAUACAUAGCCGACCUGAGAGGGUGAUCGGCCACACUGGGACUGAGACACGGCCCAGACUCCUACGGGAGGCAGCAGUAGGGAAUCUUCGGCAAUGGACGGAAGUCUGACCGAGCAACGCCGCGUGAGUGAAGAAGGUUUUCGGAUCGUAAAGCUCUGUUGUAAGAGAAGAACGAGUGUGAGAGUGGAAAGUUCACACUGUGACGGUAUCUUACCAGAAAGGGACGGCUAACUACGUGCCAGCAGCCGCGGUAGUACGUAGGUCCCGAGCGUUGUCCGGAUUUAUUGGGCGUAAAGCGAGCGCAGGCGGUUAGAUAAGUCUGAAGUUAAAGGCUGUGGCUUAACCAUAGUACGCUUUGGAAACUGUUUAACUUGAGUGCAAGAGGGGAGAGUGGAAUUCCAUGUGUAGCGGUGAAAUGCGUAGAUAUAUGGAGGAACACCGGUGGCGAAAGCGGCUCUCUGGCUUGUAACUGACGCUGAGGCU
RNAcentral lists this ribosomal RNA (740 nucleotides) under uncultured Bacilli bacterium. Its description in RNAcentral is "bacterial SSU rRNA". It matches the Rfam family "Bacterial small subunit ribosomal RNA", at positions 28 to 753 of the family's 1533-position model. The record is from RNAcentral. Lineage: Bacteria; Bacillati; Bacillota; Bacilli.